Molecule: ribosomal RNA, 793 nt
Filed under: uncultured Alphaproteobacteria bacterium
Lineage: Bacteria; Pseudomonadati; Pseudomonadota; Alphaproteobacteria
Description: bacterial SSU rRNA
Rfam family: Bacterial small subunit ribosomal RNA
Source: RNAcentral
GCUGGCGGCACGCUUAACACAUGCAAGUCGAACGGGAUCUUCGGAUUUAGUGGCAGACGGGUGAGUAACGCGUGGGAACCUGCCCAGUAGUAGAGAAUAACUUGAGGAAACUUAAGCUAAUACUUUAUGCACCCUCCGGGGAAAAGCUUUAUGCGCUAUUGGAUGGGCCCGCGUUAGAUUAGUUUGUUGGUGAGGUAAUGGCUCACCAAGACUACGAUCUAUAGCUGGUCUGAGAGGAUGAUCAGCCACACUGGGACUGAGACACGGCCCAGACUCCUACGGGAGGCAGCAGUGGGGAAUAUUGGACAAUGGGGGCAACCCUGAUCCAGCGAUGCCGCGUGAGUGAUGAAGGCCUUCGGGUUGUAAAACUCUUUCGUCAGGGAAGAUAAUGACGGUACCUGAAGAAGAAGAUCCGGCUAACUCCGUGCCAGCAGCCGCGGUAAUACGGAGGGAUCUAGCGUUAUUCGGAAUUACUGGGCGUAAAGCGAGCGUAGGCGGAUUUGUAAGUUGGAGGUGAAAUCCCAGAGCUUAACUCUGGAACUGCCUUCAAAACUACAUUUCUUGAGUUUGGUAGAGGAGAGUGGAAUUCCUAGUGUAGAGGUGAAAUUCGUAGAUAUUAGGAGGAACACCAGUGGCGAAGGCGACUCUCUGGGCCAAUACUGACGCUGAGGUUCGAAAGCAUGGGUAGCGAACAGGAUUAGAUACCCUGGUAGUCCAUGCAGUAAACGAUGAGUGCUAGAUGUUGGGAAUUUAAAUUUCCAGUAUCGCAGUUAACGCGUUAAGCACUCCGCCU